RNA transcript from Cornus florida, 1485 nucleotides. It is a transcript of the gene named small ribosomal subunit protein eS10x-like, with no coding region annotated. The transcript is spliced from 3 exons. NCBI's taxonomy places the organism in Eukaryota, Viridiplantae, Streptophyta, Magnoliopsida, Cornales, Cornaceae. The record is from RefSeq and is a predicted model, not a curated record.
CCAAGCAGGCUAUGGUUUUAGGGUUUUAUGGGCAAUAAGCAAGAAGAGUGUUUUCCGAAGCUUCUCUCUCCGCAACCAUGAUAAGCUUUUUGCGUUGAUCAAUUUGAUAUGAUUCGUCAUUUUCUCUUCAGAUGAUUCCAGAGAAGAACCGCCGAGAGAUAUCCAAGUUAUUUGAUUCGGUGUUUAAAUCUCCUUCUCACAAAUUUCCGUAAAAGUUACAGAGGGAGUUUGCUAUGCCAAAAAAGAUUACAAUUUGGUGAAACAUCCCCAAAUCGAUGUGCGGAAUCUUCAGGUGAUAAAGCUGAUGCAGGGCUUCAAAUCCAAGGAAUACGUGCGAGAGACCUUCGCUUUGAUGCACUACUACUGCACCUCACCAAUGACGGCAUUGAGUUCCUUCGAACCUACCUCAAUUUGCCCUCUGAAAUCGUCCCUGCUACUUUGAAGAAAUCCCUCAAGCCCCUCGGUGCUCGGAUGGGUGGCCCACCCGGCGAUCGCGCCAGGUAAAUUUUGAUACAUAUAUAUACAUUGACGGGGUGUUUAUGUUAUUGGUUUUUGUUAAUUUGCUGGGUUGAUUAUGUUUCAUCGAUUGAAUGUGAAUUAUAUUGAUUUACAUACAUAUAUAUGCAGUGAUGGUUUGUUUAUGUUAUUGGUUCUUGUUAGUUUGCUGGGUUGAUUAAUAUGUCUAAUUGAAUGUAAUAUGAAUUGGGUUUUGAAAAAUAGUGGCCUUGUUAGUGGAUGAAGAAUGUUAUUAUUGAAGUAGUAAAGAACAUGCUAUGUCUCAAUAAAUUUGGCUGAAGGUAUGCUAUUCCACUUUCAUCCUUGUGAUUCUUCGUGUAAAUCUCUUCAACUGUUUUUACUUUGAUCUAUGUUUGAAUGACUUUGUUUUAAUUUUCAGUUAUAUACUUACUAGUAGAUUUUCAAAUUGUAUCCUUUCGAGUUGAUUGUUUCUAUGAUUGCUCAUAUAGGUGAAGCAGAGUAUAUGGUUUAGUAGUCAUUAUUUUACCGGGACUGAAGUGAAGUCAUCAUGACAUGAUGGUAGUUGUGUUGUUCUCUUUGAAAUUGUUGCUGUGGUAUCUGGUUAUAGGGAGCUCGCAGAAUUCGUCAUCCCCCGAAUCUUUAGGAUUAAGAAAUCAUGUAAGUUCUAACACUUGCAUCUUGUAUUUAUUUAUUGUCUUUAUUGAUAUAAUCCUUGAUAUAACAAGAGGCAGAAUGCUGCUGCUGAGAAGUAGCUUGAAGAUGUAUGGUAGUCAGCUCUUGCCACAACAGUGAGAUCCCAUUUCCCUUUGUUUGAAAGUAAUUGUUUAAUUAUCACUUUCCAUAUACUUCCCUUUCUUUUCAGAUCCUAUUGAGUGAUGAAUUCUUUUCCUUUUUCUUUUUUAAUUUAUUUCUCCUGGUGAUAGUGCCUUUUGGCUUUUAUUUUCUUUGUAAACCAACUAUUCAAAUGAUAUAAAACAACAGUCGCAGGGUAAUUUUAUUUUUUGAUAA